AGGACAAUGUUCUGUGUCUUGAUUUUGGUCAUGAUUUCACCAUGCACACAUUUCUCAAAACCCAUGCAGUUUAUUGUAAACAAAUUAUAUUCCAAUAAAGUUGAUUUACAAAAGGAACACAUUCUUACACGUUUACCCAAAUCCUGUGAAUUCUCAAAGAAGCUAUGCUCAGUGUCACUAACUUAGAAUUCACUUUGUACCUGAACUUUGGUGGCUGUGAAGGCCUCCUGGUAGACCUCGGCUAUCCUGUGCACCAGAGGAAGAAACGUCUACAUAAUAAAUGUACUGUUUCAUCCUUCUAUUCACAUCACUCUAAGGGAAAAGCAACAAAACCAGGGAAUAUAGUCGUCUCCUGUACCGUGCUAUUAAGUCUAAGACGUUCCUUGAGGGUAAGAUCUUUAACUUCUUAUCUCUGCUAACAUCUUAUCCCUAACUUCUUAUUCCACAACACAAGCAAGUACCUGGAAAAUAAAUUAAGUAAUGGAAAG
RNAcentral lists this long non-coding RNA (488 nucleotides) under Vulpes vulpes (red fox). RNAcentral describes it as "lncRNA (ENSVVUG00000017859.1)". Lineage: Eukaryota; Metazoa; Chordata; Mammalia; Carnivora; Canidae. The record is from RNAcentral.